RNAcentral lists this ribosomal RNA (728 nucleotides) under uncultured bacterium. Its description in RNAcentral is "bacterial SSU rRNA". It matches the Rfam family "Bacterial small subunit ribosomal RNA", at positions 91 to 817 of the family's 1533-position model. The record is from RNAcentral.
GCGACCGGCAAACGGGUGCGGAACACGUACGCAACUUACCCAAAACUGGGGAAUAGCCCGGGGAAACCCGGAUUAAUACCUCGUAACAUAAUGAAGUGGCAUCACUUUAUUAUUAUAGCUCCGGCGGUUUUGGAUGGGCGUGCGCCUGAUUAGGUAGUUGGCGGGGUAACGGCCCAGCAAGCCUACGAUCAGUAACUGGUGUGAGAGCACGACCAGUCACACGGGCACUGAGACACGGGCCCGACUCCUACGGGAGGCAGCAGUAAGGAAUAUUGGUCAAUGGACGCAAGUCUGAACCAGCCAUGCCGCGUGAAGGAUGAAGGUCCUCUGGAUUGUAAACUUCUUUUAUAUGGGAAGAAAUCCAUCUUUCCUUGGGUGGUUGACGGUACCAUAGGAAUAAGCACCGGCUAACUCCGUGCCAGCAGCCGCGGUAAUACGGAGGGUGCAAGCGUUAUCCGGAUUCACUGGGUUUAAAGGGUGCGUAGGUGGUUUGUCGCGUUGUUCGUGAAAACUCACAGCUCAACUGUGGGCGUGCGGGCGAUACGGGCAGACUGGAGUACUGCAGGGGAGACUGGAAUUCCUGGUGUAGCGGUGGAAUGCGCAGAUAUCAGGAGGAACACCGGUGGCGAAGGCGGGUCUCUGGGCAGUAACUGACGCUGAGGAGCGAAAGCGUGGGGAGCGAACAGGAUUAGAUACCCUGGUAGUCCACGCCGUAAACGGUGGGUACU